This 176-nucleotide ribosomal RNA is filed under the name uncultured Pseudomonas sp. Its description in RNAcentral is "partial 16S ribosomal RNA". Lineage: Bacteria; Pseudomonadati; Pseudomonadota; Gammaproteobacteria; Pseudomonadales; Pseudomonadaceae. The record is from RNAcentral.
ACAGAGUUAGCCGGUGCUUAUUCUGUCGGUAACGUCAAAACAGCAAGGUAUUAACUUACUGCCCUUCCUCCCAACUUAAAGUGCUUUACAAUCCGAAGACCUUCUUCACACACGCGGCAUGGCUGGAUCAGGCUUUCGCCCAUUGUCCAAUAUUCCCCACUGCUGCCUCCCGUAGG